Molecule: ribosomal RNA, 1954 nt
Filed under: Pachycereus pringlei
Lineage: Eukaryota; Viridiplantae; Streptophyta; Magnoliopsida; Caryophyllales; Cactaceae
Description: eukaryotic LSU rRNA
Rfam family: Eukaryotic large subunit ribosomal RNA (bases 367-1954)
Source: RNAcentral
AUUAGAAACAAGUGAUAAAAUUUUCCUCAUAAAAUUGUGAGGAAAGUUUGAGGAAAAUUCCCAACCUCCUUCAAUCUCACAUCACUUAGAUGACAUCAAUAUGAUUUAAGUAGCUCAUCAACAUUUAAAUUUUUCAUCAAAAUUCUUAUAUUUUUUCCUCAAUCCAAAUAAGAGAAAAAAACUCACUUUCUCUCUACUUUUUUUCUUCAUAUUUUUUUCCUUCAACUUUUCUUUCCAUCAAAUUUUCUAAGGACCAAACAAAGCCUUAAUGAAGUAAACUUAAUUGGCACUACACUAUAUUAGUAACCCGUACUACAGAAAAUGAGCCAGAAAAACAUUUUCCACUGUAGAGGAGGUAUGCAUUGUAUAUAUUAACAAAUAAAUAAACAUUUUCUAUAUAUUGAAUAAGCAUGCUGAUGUGAACUGACUUAUCUCGGUAGGUGCGCAAGCCAAGGAGCACUUAAAAGUUUUAUAGGGAAAAGCGAUCCAAAUCACCUUUAGCUCGCUCAGAGGAAAAGCUUGGCUUUGACUUGCUAAGGCAAGCUACCAAUUAGAUUGACAUAGCCUUUUCACUGAAAAUGAGGGUCUUGGGUUGAUCAAGUCAUUUGCUAUUAUGGCAAAAACACAAUUUGGAGCAACUGCGAAACUUAUUCGAUUUGAUAAUGCUAUUGAGAUGAGUACUACAAAUGCAACUUUUGAGGUUUUUACCUCUUUAAGGGACUAUAUAUCAAAUUAGUUGUGUCCAAAUCCCUCAAUAGAAUGGGGAUGCUAAAAGAAAACAUAAACACCCUACUUGAGGCUUGCAAGGUUAUUGGCACUACAAGCGCAUGGUCACCGAGUGUAAAUCAAGUGUUGUUCAUGUGAGAUUAAUGUGAUGAAAUGACUCACGCAACCACAGGAGCCUUGCCUGUACAGCUGCUCAAGAGUGUGCAACAACUCACCUGCCGAAUCAAUUAGCCUCAAAAAUGAAUGGCGCNNNNNNNNNNNNNNNNNNNNNNNNNNNUAGGGNNNGUGCUAAGCUCCGAUAAGUAGGAGGGCGUGGCGGUCGCUGCAAAACUUGUGGCGCAAGUUAGGGCGGAGUGGCCUUCGAUGCAGAUUUUGGUGGUAGGAGCAAAUAUUCAAACGAGAACAUUGAAAGUCGAAGAGGUGAAAGGUUACAUGUAACGGCACUUGCACAUAGAUUAGUCAAUCCUAAGAGACGAGGGAAGCCCAUCCGAAAGCCGUUUCGUGCCAGCUUCGAAAGGGAAUCGAGUUAAAGUUCCUAAACUGGGGCGUGGUAAUUGACGACAACAUUAGGGAGUCCAGAGACAUCAACGAGGGCUUCGGGAAGAGUUAUCUUUUCUGUUUAAUAGCCUGCCCACCUUGGAAAUGACUCAAUUUGAUGUAGGGUCUAGCGGCUGGAAGAGCACCACACGUCGAGUGGUGUCCGGUACGCCUCCGGCGAUCCUUGAAAAUCCAGAGGACCGAGUACAGACCAUGCCCGGUCGUACUCAUAAUCGCAUCAGGUCUCCAAGGUAAAUAGCCUCUGGUCGAUGGAACAAUUUAGGUAAGGAAAAUCGACAAAAUGGAUCCGUAACUUCGGGAAAAAGAUUGGCUCUGAGGGUUGGGCGCGGGGGUCCUAGUCUGGAACCCAUCGGCUAUCGGCGGGCUGCUCGAGUUGCUCGCACGGGUUGUCGCGUCCCAGUCGGGGGACGGGCAAUGGCCCCUUUGGGGGCCUUCCCCGGGCUUCGAAUAGUUAACUCAGAACUGGUACAGACAAUGGAAAUCUGACUGUUUAACUAAAACAAAGCAUUGCGAUGGUCCCCGCGGAUGUUAACGCAAUGUGAUUUUUGCCCAGUGCUCUGGAUGCCAAAGUGAUAGGACUCUCUUAAGGUGGCCAAAUACCUCGUUAUCUAAUUAGUGUCGCGCAUUAAUGGAUUAACAAGAUUCCUACUAUCCCUGUCUACUAUCCAGC